GACGAACGCUGGCGGCGUGCCUAAUACAUGCAAGUCGAGCGGACAGAUGGGAGCUUGCUCCCUGAUGUUAGCGGCGGACGGGUGAGUAACACGUGGGUAACCUGCCUGUAAGACUGGGAUAACUCCGGGAAACCGGGGCUAAUACCGGAUGGUUGUUUGAACCGCAUGGUUCAAACAUAAAAGGUGGCUUCGGCUACCACUUACAGAUGGACCCGCGGCGCAUUGGCUAGUUGGUGAGGUAACGGCUCACCAAGGCAACGAUGCGUAGCCGACCUGAGAGGGUGAUCGGCCACACUGGGACUGAGACACGGCCCAGACUCCUACGGGAGGCAGCAGUAGGGAAUCUUCCGCAAUGGACGAAAGUCUGACGGAGCAACGCCGCGUGAGUGAUGAAGGUUUUCGGAUCGUAAAGCUCUGUUGUUAGGGAAGAACAAGUACCGUUCAAAUAGGGCGGUACCUUGACGGUACCUAACCAGAAAGCCACGGCUAACUACAUGCCAGCAGCCGCGGUAA
Molecule: ribosomal RNA, 513 nt
Filed under: uncultured bacterium
Lineage: Bacteria
Description: partial 16S ribosomal RNA
Rfam family: Bacterial small subunit ribosomal RNA
Source: RNAcentral